GAUGGAAUUUAAGGACCUUUAUGAAUCUUUAAUUCACAAUAAUGAUCACAUUAAACCUAUUCAUAAAUUCCAUUAUCUGAGCUCUUAUCUUGAAGGGGAUGCGGCCAGAGUGAUAGCAAACUUAGAAGUCUCCGCUAACAAUUAUACUGAAGCCUGGAAAAUUUUGUGUGACAGGUUCAGUAAUAAAAGACAGCUGAUUACUAACCAUUUAAAUUCUCUAUUUAAUUUAGAACCUAUACAGCGAGAAUCGGAUAAGGCCUUAAGGUUCCUUAAUGAUCAUGUAGUUAAAAAUCUCCGGGCCCUAAAGACAUUAGGUCAACCGACAGAGCACUGGGAUACAAUUUUAGUUCACCUAUUGACGGCUAAGUUAGACGUCAAUACUAAUGCAAAAUGGGAAGAACAUAGGAACACUCUCAAAGAGUGGCCAUCACUCGAUGACUUUAGGGGAUUUCUUAGUAAUCGUGCAGACAUCUUAGAAAAUCUGUAUCGCUCUAGGAGAGAAAAACAAUCUAACCACAAGCCAGAGCCUGUGGCCAAUAAAACUUCAUUUAAACAUGAUAAAAACAUAAAAACAUUCGUGAUUUCAGAGAAACAAGAUGACCACAAGGGUCGGCCGUGCAUCGUGUGCCAUGGUGAUCACAGAGUGUACGACUGCCCAGCCUUUAAAAAGAUGUCAGUCGACGAGCGCUGGUCGCAGGCGUCACGUCUGAAGCUGUGCCAUGUCUGCCUCCGACCGGACCAUGAGACCCGUCAGUGCAAGCUGAACGGUUGCCGGAGAAACAAGAUGACCACAAGGGUAGGCCGUGCAUCGUGUGCCAUGGUGAUCACAGAGUGUACGACUGCCCAGCCUUUAAAAAGAUGUCAGUCGACGAGCGCUGGUCGCAGGCGUCACGUCUAAAGCUGUGCCAUGUCUGCCUCCGACCGGACCAUGAGACCCGUCAGUGCAAGCUGAACGGUUGCCGGGCCGCUCACGUCGCUGCCGGGCCCGCCGCUCGACGACCGCAACCCGCACCGCCUGGACCGCUACCUGAGGCUGGAGCAGCUACGGCAACACUUCUGGAAGCGCUGGUCGGCCGAGUACGUGUCUCUACAACAG
RNAcentral lists this unclassified non-coding RNA (1096 nucleotides) under Leguminivora glycinivorella. RNAcentral's name for it is "uncharacterized LOC125225871, transcript variant X2". The record is from RNAcentral. Lineage: Eukaryota; Metazoa; Arthropoda; Insecta; Lepidoptera; Tortricidae.